AGUGGCGAAAGGGUGAGUAAUGCAUGGGAACGUACCCCGGACACCGGGAUAACCACGGGCUUCGGCUCUUUAGCGAAAGUGUGGCUAAUACCGGAUGAUGUCUACGGAUCAAAGGUGGGGAUCUUCGGACCUGCCGGUCUGGGAGCGGCCCAUGUCCUAUCAGCUUGUUGGUGGGGUAAAGGCCUACCAAGGCGCCGACGGGUAGCGGGACUGAGAGGUUGGCCCGCCACAUCGGGACUGAGACACUGCCCGGACACCUACGGGUGGCUGCAGUAACGAAUAUUGGGCAAUGGGCGCAAGCCUGACCCAGCAAUGCCGCGUGCAGGAGGAAGCCCUUCGGGGUGUAAACUGCUGUCAGGGGUUAGCAAACAAAGGGCGUUAACAGCGUCCGGCGUUGAGCCGCCCCAAAGGAAGCCUCGACUAACUCUGUGCCAGCAGUCGCGGUAAGACAGAGGAGGCAAGCGUUGUUCGGAAUCAUUGGGCUUAAAGCGGGUGUAGGCGGCUCGGCAAGUGUCGUGUGAAAUCCAACGGCUCAACCGUUGAACUGCACGGCAAACUGCCUGGCUUGAGGUCGGUAGAGGUGCCUGGAACUCUUGGUGGAGCGGUGAAAUGCGUAGAUAUCAAGAGGAACGCCAGAGGCGAAAGCGGGGCACUGGGCCGAUUCUGACGCUGAGAUCCGAAAGCGUGGGGAGCAAACAGGAUUAGAUACCCUGGUAGUCCACGCCGUAAACGAUGCACACUA
RNAcentral lists this ribosomal RNA (742 nucleotides) under uncultured organism. Its description in RNAcentral is "bacterial SSU rRNA". It matches the Rfam family "Bacterial small subunit ribosomal RNA", at positions 94 to 818 of the family's 1533-position model. The record is from RNAcentral.